UAACGAAUCUUCCGCAAUGGGCGCAAGCCUGACGGAGCAAUGCCGCGUGCCAGAAGAAGCUCCUCGGAGUGUAAAUGGCUUUCAGGGUUAGGUAAUCUCGAACCGACUCAGAAGAAGGGGCGACUAACUUCGUGCCAGCAGUCGCGGUAAGACGAAGGCCCCGAGCGUUACUCGGAUUCACUGGGCUUAAAGGGUGCGUAGGCGGAUCGGAAUGUGCUUUGUGAAAUCCCACGGCUCAACCGUGGAACUGCAAGGUAGACGACCGGUCUGGAGACAGCUAGGGGCAACUGGAACUCUAGGUGGAGCGGUGAAAUGCGUAGAUAUCUAGAGGAACGCCGAUGGUGAAAACAGGUUGCUGGGGCUGUUCUGACGCUGAGGCACGAAAGCGUGGGGAGCAAACG
Molecule: ribosomal RNA, 401 nt
Filed under: uncultured bacterium
Lineage: Bacteria
Description: partial 16S ribosomal RNA
Rfam family: Bacterial small subunit ribosomal RNA
Source: RNAcentral